Betta splendens (Siamese fighting fish) is the source of this 874-nucleotide long non-coding RNA. RefSeq lists it as uncharacterized. The transcript is spliced from 2 exons. The record is from RefSeq and is a predicted model, not a curated record. Lineage: Eukaryota; Metazoa; Chordata; Actinopteri; Anabantiformes; Osphronemidae.
UAAAGGGCUCAUAUCAUGCAAAAUCCACUUUUUAGACAUUUUGGAGCGUUCCUAUGACUCUAUGGGUCACAUAUACACAAACUGAGCACGGUAGAAAUGCAUUUCCUGCUUUUUUCACAUUUUGAAAACGUAAAUUUUCUCACCCAAUGAAAACAGACCACGACCUACUCUGAGACCGUGUCCCAUGUGUUGUCACACUGGUUGAAAAUUCUCCCUGCAAAUCCUGAACCACCACCCCCACAAUGAUCCCGAACCAAAACUGGACUUCCGCCAUUUCCCCCCUCUCACUCACCGUGAACAGACGAGCACGGCAGCGCCCAAGUCCUCCCAUAGAAAUAGUUCGGUUGUUGGGUGUUCUAACCAACACCAAAGUCUAUUCACUUUAACAAGGGAUCAACAAGUGAGGAUUUGUGGGUCACUUUUAUUUUUAACGGACCGGUGCCAGAAACACUGCCUCAGCAUUUAUACGUAUGUGCAUUUCAAACGAGGGUGCGUACAAUGCUGGAUUUGUUUCACGGCUCCUGUUGGAAAAAAAGGAUCCAUUCCUACAGUCCGUCAUCCACUCACUGCAUACCUUUUUGUUUCGAUGAGGUGAUGGUGAGGACAGCCACAGCUUCCAUCUGGUAGAGGACUGCUUCCGCUCAGUCUUCCAAAUAGUGAUGAGAACAAGGAUCACCACAUCUCCCUGUUUACCCUACUUUCAUGCAUUUCGUCUGCAAGGCCCUGCAAAAGCUUCUGUCCUCAAACCCCCAGACUUCUUAAUUAACUCAGUAACCUAUACAUUGCACAUUGGAGUGUGAAGGUAACAGUUUGUUCUAGCUUUGGAGUAGUGGUGUAUUUUUUUGGUUUACAAUAAAGUUGGCUUUAACUAUUA